UUAAAGUUUGUCGCCAACCGCCAUAUACAGUCCACAGAAGAAGAAGAAGAAGAAGAAGAAGCAGAGAUCAGUAGAAACUAACUAGGUUUCCUCUUUUAUCUGUGAAUUCAUUGUUGGAGUAGAGAACAUACGAUUUUGUGUUGAUUCAAAAUGGGUCAAAAUUCUACAAAGAUCCAGAAAAAAAGGACCUUGUGGAUUUCAGGCACACCUGUUACCUGAGAGAUGUCGGACAAAGAAGCCAUUGAAGCUUUAUCUGCCGUUGAAGAUUGCUUUGAACGGGUAACUGGGCCCUGGGGAUUCAAAGAGAUGAAUGAGAACAUGGACCGACCUCUAAACUCAUCUGCUGAUACGCUGCUCAACAAUGCACAAACAGACCUCAACGGUGGAAAGACAAAGUGGCGAGGGGAGGCAGGAUUGUAUAAGGGUGAAUAUGAGCGCAGCGUGUUAAGGGCGAAGGCUGAGUUGCCCAACAUCAAAGCUGGUACUGGGGAAUCGAUGGAAAAAGGAUAUAGUGGGAACAUUGACUACAAAUUAGGAAAAGGAUAUAGUGGGAACAUUGACUACGCAUUAGGAAAAGGAUAUAGUGGGAACAUUGACUACGCAUUAGGAAAAGGAUAUAGUGGGAACAUUGACUACGCAUUAGGAAAAGCUGAACUAGACAUGGGCGUGUGGAAGGUGGAGGGCAGCUUUCCCAGUGCCAGUGGUGCUUUUCAGGCAACAACCAUGGAGCAAAAGUAAUGCUCAAGGCUGAGGUCAUAAGUGCCUCUGCAUCCUUUGGUCCGGUGAAGUGGACAGUGCGUCAGGCAGUUGAUACAGGCUUUGAAGUAGGCAAGGAUGGGGUCACUGUACAAGUUCUGGGUACAGGUGUCUCUGUCAAGGAUGGAAAUGUGGGUCUUUCUCUCUUUGGCAGCAAGUUGGAGUUCAACCUCUGGUGAAACACCCCCCCCCCCCCCCCCCCAGAGCUCAGAGGUCCACUGCUUUGGAGAUGUAUUCAUUCCACCUGUUUAGUUCUCCUACAGCCUACAGACAAGGCUUCAGGGACAUAUAUGUGCUUGGUUACUUUUACACUCCUAAUGAAAACAGCUUCAUGUAUUGUACUUAAUAAGUGGACUGUAUUUACAAUAUAUACAAUACAUUCUUAUCAACUAUAUUUGUGAUUGUUCUUUUUUAUACACACACACACACACACACACACACACACACACACACACACACACACACACACACACACACACACACACACACACACACACACACACACACACACACACACACACACACACACACACACACACACACACACACACAUACACACACACACACACACACCUC
Molecule: long non-coding RNA, 1332 nt
Filed under: Oncorhynchus kisutch (coho salmon)
Lineage: Eukaryota; Metazoa; Chordata; Actinopteri; Salmoniformes; Salmonidae
Description: lncRNA (ENSOKIG00005047160.1)
Source: RNAcentral